GGGGGAACCAAUUUAAUUUAAAUAAAAAAACAGAAAGGAAAAAUAAAAAAAAAUUCAAGAAAAAAUUUUGGGUCUAAUAACGGAUGAAAUCGGGUACACUAAAUUAAAAAAAUGUUGAAAAUUUCAAUCUUUUCAAUCUAUUAGGUAGAAAAGAGGAUUAGAUACCCUCGUAUUUAAUAUAAAAAAGUUAGUAGUAGUAGAGUGGCAUAAACUCGAAACUAAAAAAAAAUGGCGGUGUUUCUUAGACCGUUCGGAGGAACUUGUCUCUUAAUCGAUAAUCCCCGAAGAGAAUUACUAUGGAAUUUAAAAAUUUGUAUACCGUUGUUGUCAGAAAAUUUUAGAAAAAAAUUGUAAACUUUCUUGAUCCUAAUCAAAGAGGAAUAAUUCAAAUCAAGGUGCAGUUUACGCCAUAGAGAAGAUGAGUUACAAUACCCUAAAAAAGUUAAACGAAUUUUAAUUUGAAAUAAAUUUUAGGAAGGUGGAUUCGAAAGUAAUUUUUAUACCUUAGAGUAAAAAAAUGAGUGAGGCUCUGAAACAUGUACACAUCGCCCGUCGCUCUCAAUCAAUAUCUGAG
RNAcentral lists this ribosomal RNA (574 nucleotides) under Chelidurella acanthopygia. RNAcentral describes it as "Chelidura acanthopygia partial 12S ribosomal RNA". Lineage: Eukaryota; Metazoa; Arthropoda; Insecta; Dermaptera; Forficulidae. The record is from RNAcentral.